ACGGGUGCGUAACACGUAUGUAACCUACCUUUGUCAGGGGGAUAGCCUCUCGAAAGAGAGAUUAAGACCGCAUAAAAUUAUAGUGUGGCAUCACACAGUAAUCAAAUAUUUAUAGGACAAAGAUGGGCAUGCGGAACAUUAGCUAGUUGGUAGGGUAACGGCCUACCAAGGCUACGAUGUUUAGGGGAUCUGAGAGGAUGGCCCCCCACACUGGUACUGAGACACGGACCAGACUCCUACGGGAGGCAGCAGUAAGGAAUAUUGGUCAAUGGGCGGAAGCCUGAACCAGCCAUGCCGCGUGCAGGAAGACGGCCCUACCGGUUGUAAACUGCUUUUGUACCGGAAUAAACCUUGAUACAUGUAUCAAGCUGAAUGUACGGUAAGAAUAAGGAUCGGCUAACUCCGUGCCAGCAGCCGCGGUAAUACGGAGGAUCCAAGCGUUAUCCGGAUUUAUUGGGUUUAAAGGGUGCGUAGGUGGCCUGUUAAGUCAGGGGUGAAAGACGGUAGCUUAACUAUCGCAGUGCCCUUGAUACUGACGGGCUUGAAUGGACUAGAGGUAGGCGGAAUGUGACAAGUAGCG
Molecule: ribosomal RNA, 580 nt
Filed under: Mucilaginibacter sp. BvORHM013
Lineage: Bacteria; Pseudomonadati; Bacteroidota; Sphingobacteriia; Sphingobacteriales; Sphingobacteriaceae
Description: bacterial SSU rRNA
Rfam family: Bacterial small subunit ribosomal RNA
Source: RNAcentral